ACAUCCAGAGAAUUUAGCAGAGAUGCUUUAGUGCCUUCGGGAACUCUGAGACAGGUGCUGCAUGGCUGUCGUCAGCUCGUGUUGUGAAAUGUUGGGUUAAGUCCCGNAACGAGCGCAACCCUUUAUCCUUUGUUGCCAGCACGUAAUGGUGGGAACUCAAAGGAGACUGCCGGUGAUAAACCGGAGGAAGGUGGGGAUGACGUCAAGUCAUCAUGGCCCUUACGAGUAGGGCUACACACGUGCUACAAUGGCGCAUACAAAGAGAAGCGACCUCGCGAGAGCAAGCGGACCUCAUAAAGUGCGUCGUAGUCCGGAUUGGAGUCUGCAACUCGACUCCAUGAAGUCGGAAUCGCUAGUAAUCGUAAAUCAGAAUGUUACGGUGAAUACGUUCCCGGGCCUUGUACACGCCGCCCGUCACACCAUGGGAGUGGGUUGCAAAAGAAGUAGAUAGCUUAACCUUCGGGAGGGCGUUUACCACUUUGUGAUUCAUGACUGGGGUGAAGUCGUAACAAGGUAAGCGUAGUGCU
This 527-nucleotide ribosomal RNA is filed under the name uncultured bacterium. Its description in RNAcentral is "bacterial SSU rRNA". It matches the Rfam family "Bacterial small subunit ribosomal RNA", at positions 984 to 1509 of the family's 1533-position model. The record is from RNAcentral.